RNAcentral lists this ribosomal RNA (413 nucleotides) under Acanthamoeba genotype T4. Its description in RNAcentral is "SSU rRNA". It matches the Rfam family "Eukaryotic small subunit ribosomal RNA", at positions 784 to 1095 of the family's 1831-position model. The record is from RNAcentral. Lineage: Eukaryota; Discosea; Longamoebia; Acanthamoebidae.
AUUUUCUGCCACCGAAUACAUUAGCAUGGGAUAAUGGAAUAGGACCCUGUCCUCCUAUUUUCAGUUGGUUUUGGCAGCGCGAGGACUAGGGUAAUGAUUAAUAGGGAUAGUUGGGGGCAUUAAUAUUUAAUUGUCAGAGGUGAAAUUCUUGGAUUUAUGAAAGAUUAACUUCUGCGAAAGCAUCUGCCAAGGAUGUUUUCAUUAAUCAAGAACGAAAGUUAGGGGAUCGAAGACGAUCAGAUACCGUCGUAGUCUUAACCAUAAACGAUGCCGACCAGCGAUUAGGAGACGUUGAAUACAAAACACCACCAUCGGCGCGGUCGUCCUUGGCGUCUCGGUCCUUCACGGGGCCGGGGCGCGGGGGCGGCUUAGCCCGGUGGCACCGGUGAAUGACUCCCUAGCAGCUAGUGAGA